UUCAAUUGGAGAGUUUGAUCCUGGCUCAGAAUGAACGCUGGCGGCGUGCUUAACACAUGCAAGUCGCACGAGAAAUCCCGGCUUGCCGGGAGAGUAAAGUGGCGCACGGGUGCGUAACGCGUGGAUAAUCUAGCCUCGAAUCCGGGAUAACAUUUCGAAAGGGAUGCUAAUACCGGAUAAUGUCAUGGAGUCCUCGGGCUUCAUGACCAAAGGUGGCCUCUACAUGUAAGCUACUGUUUGAGGAUGAGUUCGCGUACCAUUAGCUUGUUGGUGGGGUAACGGCCCACCAAGGCUGCGAUGGUUAGCUGGUCUGAGAGGAUGAUCAGCCACACUGGAACUGACACACGGUCCAGACUCCUACGGGAGGCAGCAGUGAGGAAUCUUGCGCAAUGGGGGAAACCCUGACGCAGCAACGCCGCGUGAGUGAUGAAGGUCUUCGGAUCGUAAAGCUCUGUCAAGUGGGAAGAAAUUGUCUUGUGUUAAUACCACAGGGCAUUGACGGUACCACUGAAGGAAGCACCGGCUAACUCCGUGCCAGCAGCCGCGGUAAUACGGAGGGUGCAAGCGUUAUUCGGAAUUAUUGGGCGUAAAGGGCGCGUAGGCGGCUUUAUAAGUCUGAUGUGAAAGCCCGGAGCUUAACUCCGGAAGUGCAUUGGAUACUGUAAGGCUUGAGUAUGGGAGAGGGUAGCGGAAUUCCUGGCGUAGAGGUGAAAUUCGUAGAUAUCAGGAGGAACACCGGUGGCGAAGGCGGCUACCUGGACCAAUACUGACGCUGAGGCGCGAAGGCGUGGGGAGCAAACAGGAUUAGAUACCCUGGUAGUCCACGCAGUAAACUUUGAUCACUAGGUGUAGCGGGUAUUGACCCCUGCUGUGCCGCAGCUAACGCAUUAAGUGAUCCGCCUGGGAAGUACGGCCGCAAGGCUAAAACUCAAAGG
RNAcentral lists this ribosomal RNA (935 nucleotides) under Deltaproteobacteria bacterium. Its description in RNAcentral is "bacterial SSU rRNA". It matches the Rfam family "Bacterial small subunit ribosomal RNA", at positions 1 to 907 of the family's 1533-position model. The record is from RNAcentral. Lineage: Bacteria; Pseudomonadati; Myxococcota; Myxococcia.